RNAcentral lists this ribosomal RNA (497 nucleotides) under uncultured bacterium. Its description in RNAcentral is "partial 16S ribosomal RNA". It matches the Rfam family "Bacterial small subunit ribosomal RNA", at positions 28 to 507 of the family's 1533-position model. The record is from RNAcentral.
GAUGAACGCUGGCGGCGUGCCUAAUACAUGCAAGUCGAGCGAACGGACGAGAAGCUUGCUUCUCUGAUGUUAGCGGCGGACGGGUGAGUAACACGUGGAUAACCUACCUAUAAGACUGGGAUAACUUCGGGAAACCGGAGCUAAUACCGGAUAAUAUUUUGAACCGCAUGGUUCAAGAGUGAAAGACGGUCUUGCUGUCACUUAUAGAUGGAUCCGCGCUGCAUUAGCUAGUUGGUAAGGUAACGGCUUACCAAGGCAACGAUGCAUAGCCGACCUGAGAGGGUGAUCGGCCACACUGGAACUGAGACACGGUCCAGACUCCUACGGGAGGCAGCAGUAGGGAAUCUUCCGCAACGGGCGAAAGCCUGACGGAGCAACGCCGCGUGAGUGAUGAAGGUCUUCGGAUCGUAAAACUCUGUUAUUAGGGAAGAACAUAUGUGUAAGUAACUGUGCACAUCUUGACGGUACCUAAUCAGAAAGCCACGGCUAACUACGUG